GGAUGUGGGGGCAACCUGGUUGGCCAGGUGGGUGUGGCCUUCCUCCCUCACUGACCCAUGUGCUUUCUCCCGAAGCUGCAUGCUCGGCUGAAGAGGACGAGCUUCUUCGAAGAGACACAACUGCGCUCUCCUGCUAGAAGCUCCACACAAGCUCUCAAGAAUUAAAAGCCAAGCAGGCUAAAAUAUUUACAUAUUCCACGAGUCUAU
This 207-nucleotide small nuclear RNA is filed under the name Erinaceus europaeus (western European hedgehog). RNAcentral describes it as "7SK RNA". It matches the Rfam family "7SK RNA". Rfam says of the family: 7SK was discovered as an abundant small nuclear RNA in the mid-70s but a possible function has only recently been suggested. Two independent studies have found that 7SK RNA binds the CDK9/cyclin T complex (known as elongation factor P-TEFb). Lineage: Eukaryota; Metazoa; Chordata; Mammalia; Eulipotyphla; Erinaceidae. The record is from Rfam by way of RNAcentral.